UGAGGAAUAUUGGGCAAUGCCCGCAAGGGUGACCCAGCAACGCCGCGUGGAGGAUGAAUGUCGUAAGAUUGUAAACUCCUGUUAGAGGGGAAGAAUAGUACCGGUUGGACCGGUAUAUGACUGUACCCUCAGAGAAAGCCCCGGCUAACUACGUGCCAGCAGCCGCGGUAAUACGUAGGGGGCAAGCGUUGUCCGGAUUUACUGGGUGUAAAGGGCGCGCAGGCGGGAUAAAAAGUCAGUGGUGAAAUCCUACAGCUUAACUGUAGAACUGCCUUUAAUACUUUUAUUCUUGAGUUCGGGAGAGAGAGACGGAAUUCCAGGUGUAGUGGUGAAAUACGUAGAUAUCUGGAAGAACACCAGUUGCGAAGGCGGUCUCUUGGUCCGACACUGACGCUGAGGCGCGAAAGCGUGGGGAGCAAACA
This 422-nucleotide ribosomal RNA is filed under the name uncultured bacterium. RNAcentral describes it as "bacterial SSU rRNA". It matches the Rfam family "Bacterial small subunit ribosomal RNA", at positions 355 to 774 of the family's 1533-position model. The record is from RNAcentral.